GACGAACGCUGGCGGCGUGCUUAACACAUGCAAGUCGUACGGUAAGGCCCUUUCGGGGGUACACGAGUGGCGAACGGGUGAGUAACACGUGAGUAACCUGCCCACAACUUUGGGAUAACGCUAGGAAACUGGUGCUAAUACUGGAUAUGUGCUCCUGCUGCAUGGUGGGGGUUGGAAAGCUCCGGCGGUUGUGGGUGGACUCGCGGCCUAUCAGCUCGUUGGUGGGGUAGUGGCCUACCAAGGCGGCGACGGGUAGCCGGCCUGAGAGGGUGACCGGCCACAUUGGGACUGAGAUACGGCCCAGACUCCUACGGGGGGCAGCAGGGGGGAAUAUUGCACAAUGGGCGCAAGCCUGAUGCAGCAACGCCGCGUGCGGGAUGACGGCCUUCGGGUUGUAAACCGCUUUCAGCAGGGACGAAGCUUUUUGUGACGGUACCUGCAGAAGAAGCACCGGCUAACUACGUG
Molecule: ribosomal RNA, 465 nt
Filed under: uncultured bacterium
Lineage: Bacteria
Description: partial 16S ribosomal RNA
Rfam family: Bacterial small subunit ribosomal RNA
Source: RNAcentral